This 234-nucleotide ribosomal RNA is filed under the name uncultured bacterium. RNAcentral's name for it is "partial 16S ribosomal RNA". It matches the Rfam family "Bacterial small subunit ribosomal RNA", at positions 116 to 334 of the family's 1533-position model. The record is from RNAcentral.
CGUAAUCAACCUGCCCUUCGGAGGGGGAUAACAACGGGAAACCGUUGCUAAUACCGCGUACGAUUCACAGGCGGCAUCGCUUGUGAAUGAAAGGUGGCCUCUAUAUAUAAGCUAUCGCUGAAGGAGGGGAUUGCGUCUGAUUAGCUAGUUGGAGGGGUAACGGCCCACCAAGGCAAUGAUCAGUAGCCGGUCUGAGAGGAUGAACGGCCACAUUGGGACUGAGACACGGCCCAA